This 603-nucleotide ribosomal RNA is filed under the name Achromobacter xylosoxidans. RNAcentral describes it as "bacterial SSU rRNA". It matches the Rfam family "Bacterial small subunit ribosomal RNA", at positions 61 to 651 of the family's 1533-position model. Lineage: Bacteria; Pseudomonadati; Pseudomonadota; Betaproteobacteria; Burkholderiales; Alcaligenaceae. The record is from RNAcentral.
GUCGAACGGCAGCACAGUAAGAGCUUGCUCUUAUGGGUGGCGAGUGGCGGACGGGUGAGGAAUACAUCGGAAUCUACCUUUUCGUGGGGGAUAACGUAGGGAAACUUACGCUAAUACCGCAUACGACCUUCGGGUGAAAGCAGGGGACCUUCGGGCCUUGCGCGGAUAGAUGAGCCGAUGUCGGAUUAGCUAGUUGGCGGGGUAAAGGCCCACCAAGGCGACGAUCCGUAGCUGGUCUGAGAGGAUGAUCAGCCACACUGGAACUGAGACACGGUCCAGACUCCUACGGGAGGCAGCAGUGGGGAAUAUUGGACAAUGGGCGCAAGCCUGAUCCAGCCAUACCGCGUGGGUGAAGAAGGCCUUCGGGUUGUAAAGCCCUUUUGUUGGGAAAGAAAAGCAGUCGAUUAAUACUCGGUUGUUCUGACGGUACCCAAAGAAUAAGCACCGGCUAACUUCGUGCCAGCAGCCGCGGUAAUACGAAGGGUGCAAGCGUUACUCGGAAUUACUGGGCGUAAAGCGUGCGUAGGUGGUUGUUUAAGUCUGUUGUGAAAGCCCUGGGCUCAACCUGGGAAUUGCAGUGGAUACUGGGCGACUAGAGUGUGG